GGCAACUUGGCCGAGUGGUUAUGGCGCUAGUUUCAGGUACUAGUGGAGUGAUCCGCGUGAGUUCGAGUCUCACAGUUGUCA
RNAcentral lists this transfer RNA (81 nucleotides) under Endocarpon pusillum. Its description in RNAcentral is "tRNA-Leu (CAG) (tRNA-Leu-CAG-1-1)". It matches the Rfam family "tRNA". Rfam says of the family: Transfer RNA (tRNA) molecules are approximately 80 nucleotides in length. Their secondary structure includes four short double-helical elements and three loops (D, anti-codon, and T loops). Lineage: Eukaryota; Fungi; Ascomycota; Eurotiomycetes; Verrucariales; Verrucariaceae. The record is from RNAcentral.